Molecule: ribosomal RNA, 446 nt
Filed under: uncultured bacterium
Lineage: Bacteria
Description: bacterial SSU rRNA
Rfam family: Bacterial small subunit ribosomal RNA
Source: RNAcentral
GGCCAGACUCCUACGGGAGGCAGCAGUGGGGAAUAUUGCACAAUGGGGGAAACCCUGAUGCAGCGACGCCGCGUGAGCGAUGAAGUAUUUCGGUAUGUAAAGCUCUAUCAGCAGGGAAGAAAUGACGGUACCUGACUAAGAAGCCCCGGCUAACUACGUGCCAGCAGCCGCGGUAAUACGUAGGGGGCAAGCGUUAUCCGGAUUUACUGGGUGUAAAGGGAGCGUAGACGGCAAUGCAAGUCUGGAGUGAAAGGCGGGGGCCCAACCCCCGGACUGCUCUGGAAACUGUAUAGCUGGAGUGCAGGAGAGGUAAGUGGAAUUCCUAGUGUAGCGGUGAAAUGCGUAGAUAUUAGGAGGAACACCAGUGGCGAAGGCGGCUUACUGGACUGUAACUGACGCUGAGGCACGAAAGUGUGGGGAGCAAACAGGAUUAGAUACCCUAGUAA